CGGACGACGCUGGCGGCACUGCCUAUACAUGCAAGUCGAGCGGACUUGAAGAGAAGCUUGCUUCUCUGAUGGUUAGCGGCGGACGGGUGAGUAACACGUAGGCAACCUGCCCUCAAGCUUGGGACAACUACCGGAAACGUAGCUAAUACCGAAUACUUGUUCCUUCGCCUGAAGGAAACUGGAAAGACGGAGCAAUCUGUCACUUGAGGAUGGGCCUGCGGCGCAUUAGCUAGUUGGUGAGGUAACGGCUCACCAAGGCGACGAUGCGUAGCCGACCUGAGAGGGUGAUCGGCCACACUGGGACUGAGACACGGCCCAGACUCCUACGGGAGGCAGCAGUAGGGAAUCUUCCGCAAUGGGCGAAAGCCUGACGGAGCAAUGCCGCGUGAGUGAUGAAGGUUUUCGGAUCGUAAAGCUCUGUUGCCAGGGAAGAACGCUUAGGAGAGUAACUGCUCCUGAGGUGACGGUACCUGAGAAGAAAGCCCCGGCUAACUACGUG
Molecule: ribosomal RNA, 499 nt
Filed under: uncultured Paenibacillus sp.
Lineage: Bacteria; Bacillati; Bacillota; Bacilli; Caryophanales; Paenibacillaceae
Description: bacterial SSU rRNA
Rfam family: Bacterial small subunit ribosomal RNA
Source: RNAcentral